AUAAAUGCAGUGAUGGAGAAGAGUACGCAGUGCCUGGCUUACAGGGAGGAAACGCCGCAGAUUGAGAGCGUUUCUAGGAGAGCAGAGCUGCCGAAGUUCACUCCGGAGCAGUUCCCUGAAUUCACUUCAAGAUCUUUUUGAAGGAAGACAGUAGGGGAAACCGGCCGCAGACCGUUAUUUCUGUUAAAGUGAGGCAUGUCUUUACCGCACCGAAAGAGGGAAUACAGCUCUUAAGGGAAGUGGUACGGCAGCCUAACAAGGGUGGUACCACGGUCUUUUCGUCCCUUAC
This 289-nucleotide non-coding RNA is filed under the name Paenibacillus sp. Its description in RNAcentral is "T-box sequence". It matches the Rfam family "T-box leader". From Rfam's summary of the family: Uncharged tRNA acts as the effector for transcription antitermination of genes in the T-box leader family. T-boxes are found upstream of many aminoacyl-tRNA synthetase genes and some amino acid biosynthetic genes usually in Gram-positive bacteria. The record is from RNAcentral. Lineage: Bacteria; Bacillati; Bacillota; Bacilli; Caryophanales; Paenibacillaceae.